RNAcentral lists this long non-coding RNA (2886 nucleotides) under Homo sapiens (human). RNAcentral describes it as "HSALNT0156661". Lineage: Eukaryota; Metazoa; Chordata; Mammalia; Primates; Hominidae. The record is from RNAcentral.
UUCAAAUGUUCAUAGAUGGCUUGGGGCUUGCAGGGACAGAUCUUCCAGUGUCACCAGGAGCCUCUGGGAUAGGCGGGAAACGCUUCCUACAGGGGGUGGGGCGGGGGGCGCAUUUGAGCUCCAUGUGGGGAAGGCCCAGGGCAACUCUAAGCUGAGUGCAGAGUCCCAGGUCCCGAAAAUAGUGAGGCUUCCAGGUCACGAGGUUACACCAGCAUCCAUGACGUCAGCAGGCCAGCGGCGGGCCCUUAGCCAUGGAGGUUCAGAUCGUGUGGGUUGUGGGUCCCACGGUCCCAGAGUCAGCCGGGCGCCCAUUGGCUUGGCCUCAGGAUGCCCAGGGACAUGCCUGGUGCAGCUGGGGCAGCAGGAGCUCACUCUACCAUGAAAUAUUCAUGGCUGCUGGCAAAGCCCGGCCCUAAAAUAUAGUUUGCAGAAGAAAAAGAGCCAUCAGGCAUUUAAUCAUUGUGUUAAUGAGGCUCUAUUUGGAAGCAAACUCCAUCUGACUGCGUCCUAGACAGCAAGAGUCAGGGCCCGGCCAACCUGUGUUGCCGGCCGCAGGGGCAGCCUCAUCCCUGAGACACCAGUGGGAGACACGCCCGGGCAAGGCACAGGCUUGGCUCGAGGCCAUGGCCAGCGGCCCUCCACUUCAGGGGAGCCCAUGAGAUUAUAACGGCAUCCUGAGGUUUGCCAAAAAGCAUCCUUUUAAGCAGAAAGCAAGCAACGGCCCUGCAUGGAGGCGCCACAGAUCCAGUCUGGCUGAGCAGGGGCUAGACCAACUCGUUUUCCCUAAGCAGCUUCCUCGGGGGAACCACUACCCCUCCUGCCUCCAGCUCCCCCUGCUGCCCAGGCCGCCGCCACAGACACUGCAAAUUACCAUCCAGACAAGAUUGCCGGGCCCUUUACAAAGCCUGAAGCAGCUCCUGCAGCCGCCGUCAGCGUCAGCAGCCGCCCUUCUUCGCCAGGUGUGCUGAUUGCAAGUCUCUCUGUGCGGCAGGAGGGGACGUCUCCAAAGGGCAGGCGUCCAGUGGCAGCACCGCAGGCCUGUGGGUGUUCCACCUGCAGAGGCCCCAGAGCAGCCCACGGAGGGCCACGGUGGUAUUAUUCCCAUUUCACAGGGAAGAAGCAAGGUCAGAGCUCUUCCCAGAUGGCUCAAGGUCCAUAAAGGACAACGGUCCAGGGCAGCGAGGCACGUCGGGGUGGACAGUGACGAGGGAGCCGCGGCCCAGCCAUCCUGCUGUGGGGGAGACGCCCCAAGGGAUGCACAGUGAGGCCUGGGCAGUGGGAGCUCCAGAAGCUACAGAGCAGGAGCCAUGGCUGCAUGUCCAGAGCCAGGCUUUCCAUUCCCACGCUGCCCACGAUGACGGAGCGGAGGACACAGAGGGAGGAGAAAACGCCCCCUGAGAAGGGGGACAGGGACGACAGAGCCUUGGAGGGAGUUCGGACAGGAGGGAGUGCCCACUGAGCGCAUUUCCUGAAACUUCCAGCUCCCCCUCCCCCGAGUCUUUCCCAGGGCCAAGGCCAUCCCUGGUCACGGAGCCCGCACCGCCUCCUCCCUGCAGCGCCAGGCCCAUGCUGCCCGCCCUUACCCGCUCCUCCCGUCCGGCGCUUGAGAGACGUGGUGUCUGGAAAGUCUGUCCCAUCCCAGCUUCCACAACACCCACUGAGACCCACGCCAACGCGCCCCGCCCACGAGAACCCAGGUCACUCCCGCUUGGUGACUGCGGAAGAACUUUCCGGGUGUCACGUUGGUCCAGUCCCAGGCUGUCCUUCUCUCAACUAAGUUUCCAUCUGGAUUCCAGCCCACCCCCAUGCACGGGACGCAGGAGCUCUGGGUGCCCACCACUCCAUGAAGGGUGAUUGUGGUGAUGUAUUUGACCUUCUGGCAGCAAUUUAAUCAAAUCUGGAAAUCUGGGCCGGCACCUGGUUCGGGACUCAUCCCCUGUUGCUAGGAAACCCAACUCCUGCGGAUCCCACCCUGCUCCAUCCGGAGACAGUGGGAGAGACCCUCCUGCAGCUGAGGCCAGGGCUGGGGAAUGGCUGGAGAUGGAUGGGGACAGCAGUGGCCUUUGCACUGGCUGACUUCACAGCAGAACUCCCACGAGUGCCGAGAAACAGCGUGUAGGGGCGCUGCUCUCCCUACAAGCCCUUCCAGGCGCUGCAGGUCACUUAGAAGCUUGUGGCGCAUCCCUCGGUACCUCUCUCUGCCUGCGCACCAUAAACACCCAGACUACAGGGCCAUACCUGUCUCUUCUUGGUCUCCCCAGCAUCCUGCAGAUUAGUGGCCCUUCAGACACUUUGCACCCCAGUAGGGGGUGGGGAGGCUGGUGGAAAGUGAGCCCUGUGGCUCCUGGAGAAGCGGCGAGCAGCAGGCAGUGUUACACAAGGGUCCUCCCAACCCAGCUGACCUCACCAGGUCAUUCAUGCAAGAAUGCGGGGCCAAUGGGUUUCUGCCAGGCGUGCCAGGGCUGAGGGCACCCCUGGGUCCUCACAGCCCCCACUGUCCAGGGACAGCAGAGUCCUCCUUCCCUUUGCCAUUUCCAUGUUUCUCAUUUCAAUAAUUCUUGCAGCCCAUGUUGUGUAAAUAAAAUUAUUCUUCCCAAAAAAAUCGUUAGCAGAGCCCGACAUUAAUUCCCCUGCAAUCUGUGUAAUUAACUGCAUGUAAUAUAGGGCAUUAAAGGACCGGUUUGCUAAUCACCACUCCUCCGCUCCACGCACCUAAUUAAAUCUCCUUCCUGUUUAUCCACUUACAGGAUCCUCUGCAAAGAUACCAGGCACCAGGAACACUGUUGUAAUAAAUCUUUGCGUAAUUUUAGAGGGUGCAGUCCCACUCUGUUUCAUUCCCACUGCUGAGCCCCUCCUCCCUGCAGCCACGUCUCCCCAUGACUCGGC